Molecule: ribosomal RNA, 524 nt
Filed under: uncultured bacterium
Lineage: Bacteria
Description: partial 16S ribosomal RNA
Rfam family: Bacterial small subunit ribosomal RNA
Source: RNAcentral
GACGAACGCUGGCGGCGUGCUUAACACAUGCAAGUCGAACGGACAGACAGAGAGCUUGCUCUCUUGAAGUUAGUGGCGAACGGGUGAGUAACGCGUAAUCAACCUGCCCUUCAGAGGGGGAUAACAACGGGAAACCGUUGCUAAUACCGCGUACGAUUCAUGAACGGCAUCGUUUAUGAAUGAAAGGUGGCCUCUAUGUAUAAGCUAUCGCUGAAGGAGGGGAUUGCGUCUGAUUAGCUAGUUGGAGGGGUAACGGCCCGCCAAGGCAAUGAUCAGGAGCCGGUCUGAGAGGAUGAACGGCCACAUUGGGACUGAGACACGGCCCAAACUCCUAAGGGAGGCAGCAGUGGGGAAUCUUCCGCAAUGGACGAAAGUCUGACGGAGCAACGCCGCGUGAGUGAUGAAGGUCUUCGGAUUGUAAAGCUCUGUUAAUCGGGACGAAAGAGUUCUGCGUGAAUAAUGCAGAAAAGUGACGGUACCGGAAUAGAAAGCCACGGCUAACUACGUGCCAGCCGCCGCGGUAA